CUGACACAAUAUUGCUCAAAGUAAGUAUGUGAGGUGAUCGUAACAUAGUUCAAAGAACAACGAGAUUCAUCCUGAGAGACCAACAGAAGAGCUCCUUUACCCUUACAAGAAAUCGACUGACGAACCCUUGGGUCUCCGAGGAUGGCUGCGUUUGGACUCAUCCCUUAGACCUCUUGUGGCCAAUCACACAAGAUUUUAGAACAGCGCUCAUGCAUAUGAAUAUUAGAUAAUCACGUUGCGGUUGACUGUCUUCACGGAUUGUUAGCCUGUUCUCAAUCAGUGGUGAAGAGCGGAAAAAACUGGCGAUUGUUACGCAAACGAAAAUAGUACAGCAGAAGUCGUUAAAGGCUGACCCUUAUAUAUCUAAGGCUUGUAUUUCUAUGCGGACCGCGACUCAAGAUAACUUACAAUUUUGCUUUUUCGGAGUAAGGGAAGAAAAAAAAAUAACCUUAUUUAGUACCUUUACGAUGAGCAAGGUACAAGGUCAAUACAAACUGGUUCAAGAAGCCAGGGACCUGAAGACCACGGAGUCUGCGAAAGAUCACUUAUAAAGUCGAAAGAUCAUCAUAAAACCGUUUUAAAAAUAAUUUUAAAGAUGAAUGGGUAAGGACUUAGUUUCUCACAGAGAAAGCGCGAAAAUUUUCACAGGGAACACAGACCCGUUGCUUGCUUAUCCCAAACCAUCUCUCUGAUAACAAUUCAAAUGCAUAAAAACCAAAUUAAAACUUUUGACGAUGUGGUCCUGUUAUAACCUUUUUAAAGGUUUGAAAUUUAAAAUAUGUGAAAAAUCACAUCAUGUAGAGUGAAGCCCGCUCCUUUCAUCUGUUUAGCCAAUAAAAUAAGGUGAAGGACGAUUAUAUAUAGUUGCUCUCAAUAUUAUGAACUCUUCUUUCGAUGUUCAAAACAUUUCAGUCAUGAUCAAGGCUAUAUUUGGCCAAAAUAUUGUGUGUGAAAACAUAACUUAAUAAAAGAUCAAAAUUUGCGAAAUCAGGAA
Pocillopora damicornis (cauliflower coral) is the source of this 994-nucleotide long non-coding RNA. RefSeq lists it as uncharacterized. NCBI's taxonomy places the organism in Eukaryota, Metazoa, Cnidaria, Anthozoa, Scleractinia, Pocilloporidae. The record is from RefSeq and is a predicted model, not a curated record.